GAUGAACGCUGGCGGUGUGCCUAAUACAUGCAAGUCGAGCGAACAGACGAGGAGCUUACUCCUCUGACGUUAGCGGCGGACGGGUGAGUAACACGUGGAUAACCUACCUAUAAGACUGGGAUAACUUCGGGAAACCGGAGCUAAUACCGGAUAACAUGUUGAACCGCAUGGUUCAACAGUGAAAGACGGUCUUGCUGUCACUUAUAGAUGGAUCCGCGUCGCAUUAGCUAGUUGGUAAGGUAACGGCUUACCAAGGCAACGAUGCGUAGCCGACCUGAGAGGGUGAUCGGCCACACUGGAACUGAGACAAGGUCCAGACUCCUACGGGAGGCAGCAGUAGGGAAUCUUCCGCAAUGGGCGAAAGCCUGACGGAGCAACGCCGCGUGAGUGAAGAAGGUCUUCGGAUCGUAAAACUCUGUUAUUAGGGAAGAACAAAUGUGUAAGUAACUAUGCACGUCCUGACGGUACCUAAUCAGAAAGCCACGGCUAACUACGUG
RNAcentral lists this ribosomal RNA (497 nucleotides) under uncultured bacterium. RNAcentral describes it as "partial 16S ribosomal RNA". It matches the Rfam family "Bacterial small subunit ribosomal RNA", at positions 28 to 507 of the family's 1533-position model. The record is from RNAcentral.